GUCCACGCUGUAAACGAUGAUAACUCGUUGUCGGCGAUACACAGUCGGUGACUGAGCGAAAGCGAUAAGUUAUCCACCUGGGGAGUACGAUCGCAAGGUUGAAACUCAAAGGAAUUGACGGGGGCCCGCACAAGCGGAGGAGCAUGUGGUUUAAUUCGAUGCAACGCGAAGAACCUUACCAAGGCUUGACAUACACCGGAAUCAUGCAGAGAUGUGUGCGUCUUCGGACUGGUGUACAGGUGGUGCAUGGUUGUCGU
RNAcentral lists this ribosomal RNA (257 nucleotides) under uncultured bacterium. RNAcentral's name for it is "partial 16S ribosomal RNA". It matches the Rfam family "Bacterial small subunit ribosomal RNA", at positions 793 to 1055 of the family's 1533-position model. The record is from RNAcentral.